This 198-nucleotide microRNA precursor is filed under the name Oryza rufipogon (brownbeard rice). RNAcentral describes it as "MIR812 microRNA precursor family". It matches the Rfam family "MIR812 microRNA precursor family". The record is from Rfam by way of RNAcentral. Lineage: Eukaryota; Viridiplantae; Streptophyta; Magnoliopsida; Poales; Poaceae.
AAUAAACCCUGAUUUUUCAUGUACAAUGUUUGACCAUUCGUCUUAUUUGAAAAAGUUAUGAAAAAAAAUUUAAAAAAGCAAGUCACGCAUAAAGUAUUAAUUAUGUUUUAUCAUCUAACAACAAUAAAACUACUAAUUAUAAAAAAUUCUAUAUAAGACGGACAGUCAAACGUUAAACACGGAAACUUAGGUUUUAUU